Macadamia integrifolia is the source of this 618-nucleotide long non-coding RNA. RefSeq lists it as uncharacterized. The record is from RefSeq and is a predicted model, not a curated record. The transcript is spliced from 2 exons. NCBI's taxonomy places the organism in Eukaryota, Viridiplantae, Streptophyta, Magnoliopsida, Proteales, Proteaceae.
GUUGUUGAAGGAUCAGCUUGCUCAAAGCUUUCAAACACAGACUCCCAUUUGCUCGGAUCAAUUCCUACAGAAGAAGACAAUUUCUUAUGAAGCAUUAUGCGAAAUGAAUGUAAAAUUGUCUAGGUGCUUGGAAAAAUUAAUCAUCAUACCACAGCCAGUAUCAUCAACUUCAAACCAAAGAACAAUUCUGUCAUCUUUCUUGGAGGUUCUCAUCUCAUGGUUUCCGUGUUGCUUCAACUUUGUUUUGACCGCAGAAGACGAUUCCUUCUGAUCAAGGGGCAACUUCAUUGUGUCACUAAAUGUAUUGGGUCUCUCACACCAUCCUCGCAGUAUUAUGUGGCCCGCUCUGUUUUAGAAGAUCUUCAAAUGAUGAAAAGGACAGCAUACCAGACAGAUCAAGAACAGUCUCCACAUUGUGGUUUAUGCGCUGGACAGAGAACAUAUCCACAAGGCCUUCAAGUUCUCUCCCCAAGUCAAACUCAGCUUCUUCUAGUACUAGUUUUCCUGAUUCAACCUGUAAUAAUUUAUGAAAAAACAAAAAAAUUAUUUUCACGGCAAUUGUAAUUAUUUAUAAGAGAAUUAGUUCCAGAUUAAUAGUUUAUUUUGCAACUCUUAAAA